UACGGAGGAUGCGAGCGUUAUCCGGAUUUAUUGGGUUUAAAGGGUGCGUAGGCGGUGAUGCAAGUCAGAAGUGAAAGCCCGGGGCUCAACUCCGGGACUGCUUUUGAAACUGUGUGACUGGAGUGCAGGAGAGGUAAGCGGAAUUCCUGGUGUAGCGGUGAAAUGCAUAGAUAUCGCGCAGAACUCCGAUUGCGAAGGCAGCAUGCCGGCUCCACACUGACGCUGAGGCACGAAAGCGUGGGUAUCGAACAGG
RNAcentral lists this ribosomal RNA (253 nucleotides) under uncultured bacterium. RNAcentral describes it as "partial 16S ribosomal RNA". It matches the Rfam family "Bacterial small subunit ribosomal RNA", at positions 524 to 776 of the family's 1533-position model. The record is from RNAcentral.